UCUUCUAUAGCUCAGUUGGUAGAGCGGGUGACUGUUAAUCACUAGGUCGGCGGUUCAAGUCCGUCUGGAGGAG
Molecule: transfer RNA, 73 nt
Filed under: Thiospirochaeta perfilievii
Lineage: Bacteria; Pseudomonadati; Spirochaetota; Spirochaetia; Spirochaetales; Spirochaetaceae
Description: Spirochaeta sp. P tRNA
Rfam family: tRNA
About the family: Transfer RNA (tRNA) molecules are approximately 80 nucleotides in length. Their secondary structure includes four short double-helical elements and three loops (D, anti-codon, and T loops). Further hydrogen bonds mediate the characteristic L-shaped molecular structure. tRNAs have two regions of fundamental functional importance: the anti-codon, which is responsible for specific mRNA codon recognition, and the 3' end, to which the tRNAs corresponding amino acid is attached (by aminoacyl-tRNA synthetases). tRNAs cope with the degeneracy of the genetic code in two manners: having more than one tRNA (with a specific anti-codon) for a particular amino acid; and 'wobble' base-pairing, i.e. permitting non-standard base-pairing at the 3rd anti-codon position.
Source: Rfam by way of RNAcentral